RNAcentral lists this ribosomal RNA (403 nucleotides) under Verrucomicrobiota bacterium. RNAcentral's name for it is "Verrucomicrobia bacterium partial 16S ribosomal RNA". It matches the Rfam family "Bacterial small subunit ribosomal RNA", at positions 355 to 776 of the family's 1533-position model. Lineage: Bacteria; Pseudomonadati; Verrucomicrobiota. The record is from RNAcentral.
UGGGGAAUAUUGCACAAUGGAGGGAACUCUGAUGCAGCGACGCCGCGUGAACGAAGAAUGCUUUCGAGUCGUAAAGUUCUUUUAUAUGGGAAGAUAAUGACGGUACCAUAAGAAAAAGCCCCGGCUAACUACGUGCCAGCAGCCGCGGUAAUACGUAAGGGGCUAGCGUUGUCCGGAAUCACUGGGCGUAAAGGGUUCGCAGGCGGAAAGGCAAGUCAGGUGUAAAAGGCAGUAGCUUAACUACUGUAAGCAUUUGAAACUGCAUAUCGUGAGAAGAGUAGAGGUAAGGGGAAUUUUUAGUGUAGCGGUGAAAUGCGUAGAUAAUAAAAAGAAUACCGGUGGCGAAGGCGACUUACUGGGCUCAUUCUGACGCUGAGGAACGAAAGCGUGGGUAGCAAACAGG